Molecule: ribosomal RNA, 497 nt
Filed under: uncultured bacterium
Lineage: Bacteria
Description: partial 16S ribosomal RNA
Rfam family: Bacterial small subunit ribosomal RNA
Source: RNAcentral
GAUGAACGCUGGCGGCGUGCCUAAUACAUGCAAGUCGAGCGAACGGACGAGAAGCUUGCUUCUCUGAUGUUAGCGGCGGACGGGUGAGUAACACGUGGAUAACCUACCUAUAAGACUGGGAUAACUUCGGGAAACCGGAUCUAAUACCGGAUAAUAUUUUGAACCGCAUGGUUCAAAAGUGAAAGACGGUCUUGCUGUCACUUAUAGAUGGAUCCGCGCUGCAUUAGCUAGUUGGUAAGGUAACGGCUUACCAAGGCAACGAUGCAUAGCCGACCUGAGAGGGUGAUCGGCCACACUGGAACUGAGACACGGUCCAGACUCCUACGGGAGGCAGCAGUAGGGAAUCUUCCGCAAUGGGCGAAAGCCUGACGGAGCAACGCCGCGUGAGUGAUGAAGGUCUUCGGAUCGUAAAACUCUGUUAUUAGGGAAGAACAUAUGUGUAAGUAACUGUGCACAUCUUGACGGUACCUAAUCAGAAAGCCACGGCUAACUACGUG